Papaver somniferum (opium poppy) is the source of this 1942-nucleotide long non-coding RNA. RefSeq lists it as uncharacterized. Lineage: Eukaryota; Viridiplantae; Streptophyta; Magnoliopsida; Ranunculales; Papaveraceae. The record is from RefSeq and is a predicted model, not a curated record. The transcript has 4 exons.
UUUCCUGCCUUUAUUAUCACUUCUUUCUCAGAUCUCUCUCUGCAUCUUAGUUCCUAUUCAUCAACAAGUGAAAACCCAAAUACUUUCUCAGUUCUCUCUCUGCAUCUCAGUUCCUAUUCCUAAAUAAAAAAUCUCAAUCUCGGGUUCUCAUCGUCUUCUCUUGUCUUUCUUAUACUCAGAUUCAUCAUUGAAACCCUCUAUGAAAACUCUGCACUUGUUUACAUCGAUUAAGAUUUGAAUCACCAGUUACAAUCUGAAAAUAUCGUUGGUAAUGCAAGAGCAGGAUCAAAUAAGUUUAAAUCAGAUGUUCUAUGACCUUUUAGAUUCAACUCAAGACUUUUAAUACGAGUUGUUGAAUCUUUUGAAUCUAACAAUUAAGCUACUGAAUAAGAUGUUGAAGGAGGAGAAAUUAGUAUUAUUACAGAUCAAAAUCUAAGAAGUUAAGAUAUCUAUCUGUAAAGGGAAUCCUAAAAAAGUCCAGUUUGGAUAGUGGUGAAAAGAUUAACAACUCCCAACAACUUCUAAGGAUAAGAAAUGGAGUAAAGUCAAGCUACAAUCUAUGUUGAUACCAUGUAUGAAUCCGAUCACCUGAGAAAGGGAAAGCGUUGUAUGGUAAUCAUGGAUUACAUGCUAACAAACUCGAGUGACACGGCAACUUGAAUGUUCAUUAACAUCUUUCAUACAAAUACAUAGGCUGAGCUUGUUGGGUGCUUAAUGGACCUUGAUUAGAGACAGUUUGUUAAUAAAUGAAGGCAUAGAUGGUGAAGUCUCUCCUUCACUUAGUGUAGAUUUUCUGGUUUGUUAGCUUGUAAUAGGAAUAAUUAAGUAGAUGAAGUUUCGAGAUUUGAAAAAAGUAUUUUAGACUGUUGGCGCUUUUUAAUACAAAUUUCGUUUUGAUUUUACUGUCAAUUUAGUUUUUUGAUCGGUGCAGCUUAAUCAGCUUUGAAAUAAAUUAAUUUUUUGAUCAAUAAAACUGUGAUGCAGUUGAAUCAGCUUAAUUUGGAUUCAGCUGGAUCACUUCCAAAAUUUUUUUUAUAAAAUAUGUUCAAUAUAAAAGUCUGUUUCUGUCGGCCCUAUUGAUUGACUGUCUAAGAUAGACGUUUUCUAAUAAAUUCCAGGGCUCCCAGAAACAGUGUUUUCGAGAAUUAAGACUACAACUUUAGGGUCCCCAGAAACACACUUUUUUAGCGAUUAUCAUACUGUUUCUGGUAGACUUAUUUUUCCAAUUUUCCACUAGUGGUCUAGACAUACCACAUCUAUAUCAGCUUUCUGUUUUCUUUUCGGGAACCUCUGGACAUCCAUAAAUGAAUUGGUUUUCAAAUAACAUCACACACCCCCGGACAACAUCCUGACACAGACCUUGAGGCAACAACAUGAAUUCGAAUGGGAAAAAAAAAAAAUUCCCCCUAGUUUUACAUGGCGUCCCCCCUAGGGCCUCCAACAAAUAUAAGAGCAACAACAACGAUAUUAGCAGGAUGGACCAGACCCGAACUGAAUUGGAUAAAGAUCAACACGGAUGGGGCUGCUAGGGGACAACCAGGAAUGACGGGAGCAGGUUUUAUUUGCAGGGAUUCGAGUGCUCAAACUGUGAUGGCCCUCGCGCAGCCUCUUGGAAUAAUUACAGCGUAAUAGCUGAAACAUGGGAAACUCUCCUGGCAUCAAGGACAGCAACUGAGAGACAUUAGCCAAAAGUUAUCUUUGAAAAGGAUUCGGAAAAUCUGAUGCGCUUCCUAAAAACGAAGACUGAAUGAAGCUCCAUGGUAUAUUGAAGAAAUGAUUGCCGAAAUAAAAAAGAGAAUGCAACAAACUCCUCAUUGUGAUAUACAACACAACUAUAUAGAAGGGAAUCAAGCAGCAGAUGAUCUGACAAACUAUGCAGCAAAUGGAAGUCAACUAAGAAACUUAUCAACAACAAUAUGGGACCAGGCAAUCCCACAGUUUA